RNAcentral lists this long non-coding RNA (749 nucleotides) under Homo sapiens (human). RNAcentral's name for it is "HSALNT0174765". Lineage: Eukaryota; Metazoa; Chordata; Mammalia; Primates; Hominidae. The record is from RNAcentral.
CCUAGCGCCCCUUGGAAGCCAAGAAUAUGAGGAAGUCUUCUUCCUUCGCGCCUUCUUCUUCCUUACGCUCCAGGGCAGCCUGACAGAGCCGCUCGAAGGCUCUGCUGGCCGCGGCUAGCCGGUUUACCCAUUCCACUGGACCCAGCCACCACCCACUCCUGCUGUCUGGGAAGGACCUCCUUCACCUUAGCAUUUGGAACAGGCUGCAAAGUUCAUUCUUCCUCAUAGCAGCCCCUGCAUUCAGUUUGGUUUAGUUGUUUUAUGUGGUUUCUAGCCUGAUUUUUUUUUUCAGGGUGCAGCAGAAGUCUCAGGUAGCUGAGAAGUUCAUGGAAUCUUCUUAUUUGCUACACCUUUCACUACUGCUUGUGAUAUAGUGCAGGGUUGGGAUGUGCAGACAUUUCUCAAGUGCACUGUGUACCUACACAGCAUGCUGCAAUUUGGCUACUGAAGUCAAGAGAAACUGGUUUGAACAACUACUGAGUGUAACAUAGGAAGCGCAUUUCAUUUGAUAACAGGAACACAGCUUUUGUGCUAAUAAAAUGCUUUGAAAAUUAGUGUGUGGUCUUUAGUAAUUAGCAUAUACAUUUUAGUUAUCCAUUGGUUCAUAACAAACGGACUAAAUAGGUACCCCACUGAGUCAUUUAUCUAAAUGAAAAGUUUGGUUAAAUUGUAGUUGUAGGCAUUGAUCAAAGCUAAUGGGAAAAAGAGAUUAAGAUGAAAAUCAUGGGAUUAAAUUUUUAAUUAGUUUG